Molecule: ribosomal RNA, 463 nt
Filed under: uncultured bacterium
Lineage: Bacteria
Description: bacterial SSU rRNA
Rfam family: Bacterial small subunit ribosomal RNA
Source: RNAcentral
AUUGAACGCUGGCGGAAUGCUUUACACAUGCAAGUCGAACGGUAGAGGGGGGCAACCCCUUGAGAGUGGCGAACGGGUGAGUAAUAUAUCGGAACGUGCCCAGUCGUGGGGAUAACGUAGCGAAAGUUACGCUAAUACCGCAUACGAUCUAAGGAUGAAAGCGGGGGAUCGCAAGACCUCGCGCGAUUGGAGCGGCCGAUAUCAGAUUAGGUAGUUGGUGAGGUAAAGGCUCACCAAGCCAACGAUCUGUAGCUGGUCUGAGAGGACGACCAGCCACACUGGAACUGAGACACGGUCCAGACUCCUACGGGAGGCAGCAGUGGGGGAAUUUUUGGACAAUGGACGCAAGUCUGUUCCAGCCAUUCCGCGUGCAGGAUGAAGGCCCUCGGGUUGUAAACGUGCUUUUGUACGGAACGAAACGGUGAGCUCUAAUACAGUUUGUCUAAUGACGGUACCGUAAGAA